CACGUAGGGGGCAAGCGUUGUCCGGAUUUAUUGGGCGUAAAGAGCUCGUAGGCGGUUCGGUAAGUCGGGUGUGAAACCUCCAGGCUCAACCUGGAGAUGCCACCUGAUACUGCUGUGACUCGAGUCCGGUAGGGGAGCGUGGAAUUCCUGGUGUAGCGGUGAAAUGCGCAGAUAUCGGGAGGAACACCGGUGGCGAAGGCGGUUCUCUGGGCCACACCUGACGCUGAGGAGCGAAAGCGUGGGGAGCGAACAGG
RNAcentral lists this ribosomal RNA (254 nucleotides) under uncultured bacterium. RNAcentral's name for it is "partial 16S ribosomal RNA". It matches the Rfam family "Bacterial small subunit ribosomal RNA", at positions 524 to 776 of the family's 1533-position model. The record is from RNAcentral.